RNAcentral lists this ribosomal RNA (483 nucleotides) under uncultured bacterium. RNAcentral's name for it is "partial 16S ribosomal RNA". It matches the Rfam family "Bacterial small subunit ribosomal RNA", at positions 28 to 507 of the family's 1533-position model. The record is from RNAcentral.
AUUGAACGCUGGCGGCAUGCUUUACACAUGCAAGUCGAACGGCAGCGCGGGCUUCGGCCUGGCGGCGAGUGGCGAACGGGUGAGUAAUGCAUCGGAACGUGCCCAGUCGUGGGGGAUAGCCCGGCGAAAGCCGGAUUAAUACCGCAUACGACCUGAGGGUGAAAGCGGGGGACCGAAAGGCCUCGCGCUAUUGGAGCGGCCGAUGUCGGAUUAGCUAGUUGGUGGGGUAAAGGCUUACCAAGGCGACGAUCCGUAGCUGGUCUGAGAGGACGACCAGCCACACUGAGACUGAGACACGGCCCAGACUCCUACGGGAGGCAGCAGUGGGGAAUUUUGGACAAGGGGGGCAACCCUGAUCCAGCCAUGCCGCGUGCGGGAAGAAGGCCUUCGGGUUGUAAACCGCUUUUGUUCGGGAAGAAAUCCUCUGGGCUAAUACCCCGGGGGAUGACGGUACCGGAAGAAUAAGCACCGGCUAACUACGUG